This is a long non-coding RNA of Onychostoma macrolepis, 557 nucleotides long. RefSeq lists it as uncharacterized. The transcript has 3 exons. The record is from RefSeq and is a predicted model, not a curated record. Lineage: Eukaryota; Metazoa; Chordata; Actinopteri; Cypriniformes; Cyprinidae.
UACACAGACAUGAUUAUGCAUAUUUCUGAUAAACAGGUCAACUUUGAGCAAUAUGAUGGGCUCAUCACUUUCGUAAAUAUCAACAACAUACACUAGAGGUUUGCGUGACUACAUGCUUACACUGACACCAUUUUUAAUACUUGACCCUCAAAGUGGUACAAAUUAAAUGAAAGAAGCCAAAAAAGCCUGCAAAUACCUUUGGUAGGACAGUUUGUUUUAAAAAGUAAUUUGGCUUGUUUAGCUCCACAACAUUAAUGAUGGUAAAUUACCAUAGUUGGUGUUGCUUAAAACCACAAUAAACACACACACUGCAUUUUUCCAAAAACAGAGAAUUUUUCCAAAUGAGAAAAAACAAGUAUGGAAGAGAGGACUUGGUGAGUACCAAGUGGAAACCUGGCACAAUCCAACAUUCAUUUCAGGAGGAUGGUUCCAGCUGUGGUGUCUUUGUGAUGCUGAUGGCGAAACCGGUGGUGGAAGGGUUCCCAAAAAUUCCUGACAGCAUUAAUAUAAGGAGAUGAUGUGCCACUACAGGAAAAAUGUGGCCAAUGAAAUUUUGC